Molecule: ribosomal RNA, 497 nt
Filed under: uncultured bacterium
Lineage: Bacteria
Description: partial 16S ribosomal RNA
Rfam family: Bacterial small subunit ribosomal RNA
Source: RNAcentral
GAUGAACGCUGGCGGCGUGCCUAAUACAUGCAAGUCGAGCGAACAGACGAGGAGCUUGCUCCUCUGACGUUAGCGGCGGACGGGUGAGUAACACGUGGAUAACCUUCCUAUAAGACUGGGAUAACUUCGGGAAACCGGAGCUAAUACCGGAUAAUAUAUUGAACCGCAUGGUUCAAUAGUGAAAGACGGUUUUGCUGUCACUUAUAGAUGGAUCCGCGCCGCAUUAGCUAGUUGGUAAGGUAACGGCCUACCAAGGCAACGAUGCGUAGCCGACCUGAGAGGGUGAUCGGCCACACUGGAACUGAGACACGGUCCAGACUCCUACGGGAGGCAGCAGUAGGGAAUCUUACGCAAUGGGCGAAAGCCUGACGGAGCAACGCCGCGUGAGUGAUGAAGGUCUUCGGAUCGUAAAACUCUGUUAUUAGGGAAGAACAAAUGUGUAAGUAACUAUGCACGUCUUGACGGUACCUAAUCAGAAAGCCACGGCUAACUACGUG